GCACCACAGUGACAUGCCAGAACAUUCCAUUGGAACCCGCAGUCCACUGUUGCCAGCUGGCCUUUGCCUGCUGACUGGCAGGACACGGACAAGCUGUCCAUGGACAAGCUGUCCCUGGAGAGAGAGUUUUCCUCCUUUCACUUUCCACAGAAACUUUGGAGAAUGCUGGAAAGCAGCAGGUUUCAUUCAAUUUGGUGGAGCGAGGGUGGAAAAUGUGUGGCCAUCAACAAAGAUGUUUUUGAAGAGGAGGUGCUGGGCAGGGCAGGACCUCAGAGGCUUUUUGACACACAGAAAAUGAAAAGUUUCAUGCGACAGCUGAAUGCAUAUGGAUUCACCAAAACAAAACGGGAUGACCAGAGAUCUGCCUCCCUGCCCGAAUUCCUGGCAGAGGAAGCAGCAGUUUCUGCUCACAGGCAGAUCCUCUACUACUAUAACCCCUGCUUUAACCGAGCACAUCCCUGGCUGCUGGAAAGGUGCAUGAGGAGAG
Empidonax traillii (willow flycatcher) is the source of this 487-nucleotide long non-coding RNA. RefSeq lists it as uncharacterized. The transcript has 3 exons. The record is from RefSeq and is a predicted model, not a curated record. Lineage: Eukaryota; Metazoa; Chordata; Aves; Passeriformes; Tyrannidae.